Molecule: non-coding RNA, 39 nt
Filed under: Hyphomicrobiales bacterium
Lineage: Bacteria; Pseudomonadati; Pseudomonadota; Alphaproteobacteria; Hyphomicrobiales
Description: Rhizobiales bacterium THF-II sequence
Rfam family: THF-II riboswitch (folE RNA)
Source: RNAcentral
CCGUUCAACUCGUCCGCCUGUGGAGGCGGACUACGGGAG